Molecule: ribosomal RNA, 253 nt
Filed under: uncultured microorganism
Description: partial 16S ribosomal RNA
Rfam family: Bacterial small subunit ribosomal RNA
Source: RNAcentral
UACGUAGGGUGCGAGCGUUAAUCGGAUUUACUGGGCGUAAAGCGUGCGCAGGCGGCCCGUUAAGACAGGUGUGAAAUCCCUGGGCUCAACCUAGGAAUUGCGCUUGUGACUGGCGGGCUCGAGUACGGUAGAGGGGGGUGGAAUUCCUGGUGUAGCAGUGAAAUGCGUAGAGAUCAGGAGGAACACCGAUGGCGAAGGCAGCCCCCUGGGCCUGUACUGACGCUGAGGUACGCAAGCGUGGGGAGCAAACAGG